Molecule: ribosomal RNA, 453 nt
Filed under: uncultured bacterium
Lineage: Bacteria
Description: bacterial SSU rRNA
Rfam family: Bacterial small subunit ribosomal RNA
Source: RNAcentral
UACGGAAGGCAGCAGUGGGGAAUAUUGCACAAUGGGCGCAAGCCUGAUGCAGCCAUGCCGCGUGUAUGAAGAAGGCCUUCGGGUUGUAAAGUACUUUCAGCGGGGAGGAAGGCGAUGCGGUUAAUAACCGCGUCGAUUGACGUUACCCGCAGAAGAAGCACCGGCUAACUCCGUGCCAGCAGCCGCGGUAAUACGGAGGGUGCAAGCGUUAAUCGGAAUUACUGGGCGUAAAGCGCACGCAGGCGGUCUGUUAAGUCAGAUGUGAAAUCCCCGGGCUUAACCUGGGAACUGCAUUUUGAAACUGGCAGGCUUGAGUCUUGUAGAGGGGGUAGAAUUCCAGGUGUAGCGGUGAAAUGCGUAGAGAUCUGGAGGAAUACCGGUGGCGAAGGCGGCCCCUGGGACAAGGACUGACGCUCAGGUGCGAAAGCGUGGGGAGCGAAACAGGGAUUAGGA